CGAUGAAAUACCGGUUCCCUUACGAUCACCGAAGUUAAGCAAUGCCGAGCCUGGCCAGUACCUAGAUUGUUGACCGCUUGGGAAUCCCAGGUGC
Molecule: non-coding RNA, 94 nt
Organism: Acanthosepion pharaonis
Lineage: Eukaryota; Metazoa; Mollusca; Cephalopoda; Sepiida; Sepiidae
Source: the annotation of a GenBank genome assembly